AUUGAACGCUGGCGGCAGGCCUAACACAUGCAAGUCGAGCGGCAGCGGGAAAGUAGCUUGCUACUUUUGCCGGCGAGCGGCGGCCGGGUGAGUAAUGCCUGGGAAAUUGCCCAGUCGAGGGGGAUAACAGUUGGAAACGACUGCUAAUACCGCAUACGCCCUACGGGGGAAAGCAGGGGACCUUCGGGCCUUGCGCGAUUGGAUAUGCACAGGUGGGAUUAGCUAGUUGGUGAGGUAAUGGCUCACCAAGGCGACGAUCCCUAGCUGGUCUGAGAGGAUGAUCAGCCACACUGGAACUGAGACACGGUCCAGACUCCUACGGGAGGCAGCAGUGGGGAAUAUUGCACAAUGGGGGAAACCCUGAUGCAGCCAUGCCGCGUGUGUGAAGAAGGCCUUCGGGUUGUAAAGCACUUUCAGCGAGGAGGAAAGGUUGAUGCCUAAUACGUAUCAACUGUGACGUUACUCGCAGAAGAAGCACCGGCUAACUCCGUGCCAGCCGCCGCAGUAA
Molecule: ribosomal RNA, 508 nt
Filed under: uncultured bacterium
Lineage: Bacteria
Description: partial 16S ribosomal RNA
Rfam family: Bacterial small subunit ribosomal RNA
Source: RNAcentral